RNAcentral lists this ribosomal RNA (253 nucleotides) under uncultured bacterium. RNAcentral's name for it is "partial 16S ribosomal RNA". It matches the Rfam family "Bacterial small subunit ribosomal RNA", at positions 524 to 776 of the family's 1533-position model. The record is from RNAcentral.
UACGUAUGGAGCAAGCGUUAUCCGGAUUUACUGGGUGUAAAGGGAGCGUAGGCGGCAUACCAAGCCUGAUGUGAAAACCCGGGGCCCAACCCCGGGAGUGCAUUGGGAACUGGCAAGCUAGAGUGUCGGAGAGGCAGGCGGAAUUCCUAGUGUAGCGGUGAAAUGCGUAGAUAUUAGGAGGAACACCAGUGGCGAAGGCGGCCUGCUGGACGAUGACUGACGCUGAGGCUCGAAAGCGUGGGGAGCAAACAGG